Molecule: non-coding RNA, 3067 nt
Organism: Pantherophis guttatus
Lineage: Eukaryota; Metazoa; Chordata; Lepidosauria; Squamata; Colubridae
Source: RefSeq, a predicted model, not a curated record
AUGACCUUUUUUUUAACCAAAUCAUUCUAUUUGUUAAAUGAGUCGUGUGGUUAUUAAGCAAAUCCAGCUUCCCUAUCCACUUUGCUUGUUGGAAACCAAUUGGGAAGGUUCCAAAUGGCAAUCACAUGACCACAGGACAUGCAACUGUCAUAUAUACAGUACAUGCUGGUUGCCAAGUGUUCAAAUUUGGAUCAUGUGACCUUGGGGAUGCUAUGAUGUGCAAGGACUGGUUCUAUGACACUUUUUGAGUACCAUUGUAACUCUGAACGGUUGCUUAAACAUACAGCUGUAAGGGAAGGACUAUCUCCAUUCUUUCAGAUGACCUCUUAAAAAGAGAUUGAACAGCCAUUUGUCUGAAAUGGUAUAUGAACUCCUCCUUGACAGACCCAGACUUCAGAGGAUAAUUAGAACUGCAGAAAAAACAAUUACGACCAACCUGCCUUCCAUUGAGGACCUGUAUAUUGCAUGAGUCAAAAAGAGGGCUGUGAAAAUAUCUACAGGCCCCUCACAUCCUGGACAUAAAUUGUUUCAACUCCUAUCCUCAAAAUGACACUAUAGAGCACUGCACACCAGAACAACUAGACACAAGAACAAUUUUUUCCCAAAUGCCAUCACUCUGCUAAACAAAUAAUUCCCUCAACACUGUCAAACUAUUUACUAAGUCUGCACUACUGUUAAUCUUCUCAUCAUUCCUAUCACCCAUCUCCUCCCAUUUAUGACUGUAUGACUGUAACCUUGUUGCUGGUAUCCUUACAAUUUAUAUUGACUGUUUCCUAAUAUGAUUUGAUUGCUUAUUUGUUCCCUAAGACUAUCAUUAAGUGUGGUACCUUAUGAGUCUUGACGAAUGUAUCUUGUCUUUUUAUGAACACUGAGAGCAUAUGCACCAAGACAAAUUCCUUGUGUGUCCAAUCACACUUGGCCAAUAAAGAAUUCUCUUCUUCUAUUCUUCUUGAGCAGUGGGCUGGACUAGAAGUUCUCCAAGGUCCUUUCCAGCUCUAUUCUGAUUCUGAUGCUGAUUCAGAAGGCAAGGUGAAGUUGCAGUGCACGCGUAUGUCGCUUAAGUACUAGGGAGGCGUGGCUAAAGACUUUCAGCAAGCCUAGCAGACCCAUAAGACUGGCCCAGCAUUGCCAUCUUCAAUCUUCAAGACUGAGUUGCAUUUUUGAGCUUGGAUUUCUUUUGUCAUUUCCUUUUAUAAAAUGGAUUUGUAGGAGUAAAUAUAAGGGGAAAGGAGUUGCAACUGGGGUUUCAUGGCAAUGGCUCAAUAAUUUAUUCCCGUUUUGUUCAGCACCAUCGAAUAAACGUCUUUAGGAAGUUUAAGAGAAGAACAAAAACAGGCAGUCUUUGUAUUGUUUGUCUCCAUCAUCUGGUAUUCAGAGAGGCGCUCUGUUUGAAGAGCAUAGAUGGUGCAGCUAUUAAAAUGCUUGUGUUGUUACCCUGGCCCCGGAGGCUGAUUUAUCUUCGCAUGCUGAUUCGGAGGAUGAUAUGGAGGAGGAAGCUGUCACGAGCUAUGACAGACGGAGGGGCCGUCUUCACUGGUGAGUCAGAAGAACUGACAGUUGCUGAUGUGCCUAUGGACCCCAGCCAAAUUGAGGAGGAAACAGAGGCUGGUAACAAUGAGGGGGAGCCCCUAUUGGAUGCAAGAGAGAGACGUAGGAGACGUCGUAGAGAACAGCUAUUGCCACGUCCCAAGAGGUGUGGUCAGGAGACGUAGGGCCAUACCCUACAAAGUAUAAAAGGGGUGUGACUGGACUGAAAAGGCGUGGUGAACAAUUUGCUGGCGUUUUGGAUGCAGUGGAGUUACAACUGUUAGUUUGGAGUUUUUGACAAGAGUUUGCAUUCCUGCAUUAGCCUGCUGACCGUCUGCCAAGACCUUGGAACAUUGCCUGUUUUUGCUUAUGUACCUCCUGUGAAAACUGAACCAUGUCAUAAAUCUCCUGUUCCUCUCUGCCAGCAAGAUGCAGAAACGAAGCACACUGAAGUCAUUCCUCUUGCCACUCUGACCCGCCAGCAAUCACAUACAACAGAAAUGCCUGGAGCCAUUUCCAUCAAGUCUCUGCAAUGCUGUUACAAGGAUGCUGGAGGUAAAAGAAAGGCUCUAAAUAGUUAAUUCAUUUCUGAUACCAUAUAACAUUUGCUGGACCGACAUCAUCCCCGGAGCUCUACUUUAAAUCUACAGAUUCACAAUCAAAUCAUCUCAGAUGGCAAACAGUCCUUUAUCCACAGGAAGACAGUCAAGUACGCACAGCUACUCUGCACAUAAAACAACAGGGAAUACCCUGCAGAAAGGAACACCAACAAUGAAUAAUAAAUUACACUUAUUAAAGGCAGCUGUCCAGCAGACAUUUUGCUGAUUUGCAGCUCUCCUUAGGGGUAUAAAUACCCAUAUGCCACACUUAUCUUGAAUACUAUGGACAAUAUGGUCUUCAGUUUGCCAAUAAGCAGAGACAUAAGUGAAACAUUACUAAAACCAAGAUUGCAUUUUGCAUGACUAUCCUCACGACCAAUGCAAAUGAUGCUCACCAGCCACACGUUUUUGCUAAUCCAAAAUCCACAUAUCUGUAUUUUGGUGAUAACCAUCUUUCCAGCUUGUGGCUCACAACUGAAUAUUAACUUAAUAAUAGUUCACUUAAUGCAAUUGAUUUUAAUUUAAUUUAAGGUUUAUCACAUAUACAGCAUUAUGUACUAUAUGGCAUACUACACAAGCUUGCCUUAGAGAAAAUGUUAGGGAAGAUGUACCACACUGAAUUGGGGCAAUUUUAUCCUGAUUUAUAUUCCUCCGAAGGGGAAGGGGAAAGGAACAGAGGUCAGAAGUCAUUAGUGAAACUCUGACUAAGUGCUUGGACUUAGUGGGCAUCUACUAAUGUCCAUUUUCUUCUGUUCCGUGUAAUCAGUUUCUUGCUUUACACUGCUUUCUAUUUGCUAAAAUCUCACUUUAAAGAUGUCAGAAUUGCAUCAUUUCUGUCUUCAGUUGUUUGCUUGUAAGUACAUUUUGUUAUUAUAUUAACAAUGUCAAUGAUUCUAUGCACAUAUCAUUCAACCCGUAUAUAUCAAUAAAAGAAUUAUUAC